AUUGAACGCUGGCGGCAUGCUUUACACAUGCAAGUCGAACGGCAGCACGGGGGCAACCCUGGUGGCGAGUGGCGAACGGGUGAGUAACACAUCGGAACGUGCCCAGUUGUGGGGGAUAACCUAUCGAAAGGUAGGCUAAUACCGCAUGAGCUCGGCAAGAGGAAAGCGGGGGACUCAGCGAUGGGCCUCGCGCGACUGGAGCGGCCGAUGUCCGAUUAGCAGUUGGUGGGGUAAAGGCUUACCAAGGCGACGAUCGGUAGCUGGUCUGAGAGGAUGAUCAGCCACACUGGGACUGAGACACGGCCCAGACUCCUACGGGA
Molecule: ribosomal RNA, 320 nt
Filed under: uncultured bacterium
Lineage: Bacteria
Description: bacterial SSU rRNA
Rfam family: Bacterial small subunit ribosomal RNA
Source: RNAcentral